GAUGAACGCUGGCGGCGUGCCUAAUACAUGCAAGUCGAGCGAACGGACGAGAAGCUUGCUUCUCUGAUGUUAGCGGCGGACGGGUGAGUAACACGCGGAUAACCUACCUAUAAGACUGGGAUAACUUCGGGAAACCGGAGCUAAUACCGGAUGAUAUUUUGAACCGCAUGGUUCAAAAGUGAAAGACGGUCUUGCUGUCACUUAUAGAUGGAUCCGCGCUGCAUUAGCUAGUUGGUAAGGUAACGGCUUACCAAGGCAACGAUGCAUAGCCGACCUGAGAGGGUGAUCGGCCACACUGGAACUGAGACACGGUCCAGACUCCUACGGGAGGCAGCAGUAGGGAAUCUUCCGCAAUGGGCGAAAGCCUGACGGAGCAACGCCGCGUGAGUGAUGAAGGUCUUCGGAUCGUAAAACUCUGUUAUUAGGGAAGAACAUAUGUGUAAGUAACUGUGCACAUCUUGACGGUACCUAAUCAGAAAGCCACGGCUAGCUACGUG
RNAcentral lists this ribosomal RNA (497 nucleotides) under uncultured bacterium. Its description in RNAcentral is "partial 16S ribosomal RNA". It matches the Rfam family "Bacterial small subunit ribosomal RNA", at positions 28 to 507 of the family's 1533-position model. The record is from RNAcentral.